GUGCUUGCUCCAGCAGCACACAUUCUAAAACUAGCUUAAUACAGAGAAGAGUGGCAUGGCACCCAAGCAAGGCAAGGAUGACAGGCAAAUCUGGAAAGUAUUCCACAGCUUU
Mustela putorius furo (domestic ferret) is the source of this 112-nucleotide small nuclear RNA. The record is from Ensembl. NCBI's taxonomy places the organism in Eukaryota, Metazoa, Chordata, Mammalia, Carnivora, Mustelidae.